AAUAGAUACCCGGGUAGUCCACGCCGUAAACGAUGAGUGCUAAGUGUUAGAGGGUUUCCGCCCUUUAGUGCUGCAGCUAACGCAUUAAGCACUCCGCCUGGGGAGUACGACCGCAAGGUUGAAACUCAAAGGAAUUGACGGGGGCCCGCACAAGCGGUGGAGCAUGUGGUUUAAUUCGAAGCAACGCGAAGAACCUUACCAGGUCUUGACAUCCUCUGACCUCCCUGGAGACAGGGACUUCCCCUUCGGGGGACAGAGUGACAGGUGGUGCAUGGUUGUCGUCAGCUCGUGUCGUGAGAUGUUGGGUUAAGUCCCGCAACGAGCGCAACCCUUGACCUUAGUUGCCAGCAUUCAGUUGGGCACUCUAAGGUGACUGCCGGUGACAAACCGGAGGAAGGCGGGGAUGACGUCAAAUCAUCAUGCCCCUUAUGACCUGGGCUACACACGUGCUACAAUGGAUGGUACAAAGGGCAGCGAGACCGCGAGGUUAAGCCAAUCCCAUAAAACCCAUUACUCAGUUCGGAUUGCAGGCUGCAACCCC
RNAcentral lists this ribosomal RNA (541 nucleotides) under uncultured bacterium. RNAcentral describes it as "bacterial SSU rRNA". It matches the Rfam family "Bacterial small subunit ribosomal RNA", at positions 777 to 1314 of the family's 1533-position model. The record is from RNAcentral.